RNAcentral lists this ribosomal RNA (239 nucleotides) under Glomus sp. RNAcentral's name for it is "partial small subunit ribosomal RNA". It matches the Rfam family "Eukaryotic small subunit ribosomal RNA", at positions 667 to 886 of the family's 1831-position model. The record is from RNAcentral. RNAcentral also lists the same sequence under 1 other name. Lineage: Eukaryota; Fungi; Glomeromycota; Glomeromycetes; Glomerales; Glomeraceae.
GGAUCAAUGUUUCGGUCAUGCCGUUGGUAUGUACUGAUAUUAUUGAUUUCUCACCUUCUAAAGAACCGUAAUGCCAUUAAUUUGGUGUCACGGGGAAUUAGGACUGUUACCUUGAAAAAAUUAGAGUGUUUAAAGCAGGCUCACGCUUGAAUACAUUAGCAUGGAAUAAUGAAAUAGGACAUCCGAUUCUAUUUUGUUGGUUUCUAGGAUCGAUGUAAUGAUUAAUAGGGAUAGUUGGG